RNAcentral lists this ribosomal RNA (441 nucleotides) under uncultured bacterium. RNAcentral describes it as "partial 16S ribosomal RNA". It matches the Rfam family "Bacterial small subunit ribosomal RNA", at positions 338 to 795 of the family's 1533-position model. The record is from RNAcentral.
CCUACGGGAGGCAGCAGUCGGGAAUAUUGCGCAAUGGAGGAAACUCUGACGCAGUGACGCCGCGUAUAGGAAGAAGGUCUUCGGAUUGUAAACUCUUGUCGUUAGGGAAGAGAAAGGACAGUACCUAAGGAGGAAGCUCCGGCUAACUACGUGCCAGCAGCCGCGGUAAUAUGUAGGGAGCGAGGGUUAUCCGGAUUUAUUGGGUGUAAAGGGGGCGUAGACGGGAAGAUAAGUCAGUUGUGAAAUCCCUCGGCUCAACUGAGGAACUGCAGCUGAAACUGUUUUUCUUGAGUGCAGGAGAGGAAAGUGGAAUUCCUGGUGUAGCGGUGAAAUGCGUAGAGAUUAGGAGGAACACCAGUGGCGAAGGCGACUUUCUGGACUGUAACUGACGUUGAGGCACGAAAGUGUGGGGAGCAAACAGGAUUAGAUACCCGAGUAGUC